This 1169-nucleotide long non-coding RNA is filed under the name Equus caballus (horse). Its description in RNAcentral is "lncRNA (ENSECAG00000049797.1)". The record is from RNAcentral. Lineage: Eukaryota; Metazoa; Chordata; Mammalia; Perissodactyla; Equidae.
CUGGAAGCAAGAUGCUCUGUGGCCUGUCUCCCCUUGAGGAAACAAGGCUGGGCUUUGUGCCUUGCACCUCUAGGGCAAUGUAGGACACGGCACAGCAGAUAUUCUAUUUCAGCGAGAUCAGGGCUUUGCAGAAACUGCGUUUCACAUGCCUUUGUAAGACCUGUUUGCGAUCAGCUGUAAGAGCACUGCGGAGAGGGAGUUGUUUCUUAGCUUUGCAAAGAGCUGGAAGCAAGACGCUUUGUGGCAUGUCUCCCCUUGAGGAAAGAACGCAGGACUUUGUGUAUUGCACCUCUAAGGCAAUGUAGGACAUGAUCCAGCAGAAGUUCUACUUCAGAGAGAUCAGGGCUGGAAAGAAACUGCGUUUCACAGUCCUUUGUAAGAGACGUUCCCAGUAGGCUGUAAGUGCACUCUGGAGAGCGAGUUGUUUCUUAGCUUCCAAAAGAGCUGGAAGCAAGACUGUUUGUGGCUUGUCUACUUUGGAGGCAAUGUCUCAGCGCUUAGUGACUCGCAUCUCUAGAGCAAUGUAGGACAUGCCUUAGAGCAGAAGUUCCAACUCGUCGAGAUCAGGGCUGGAAACAAACUGCAUUUUGGGACUUUGUAUGAGAGGUUCCUGGUAGGCUGUAAGAGCCCAGGGGAAAGCGUCUACUUUCUCACCUUGCCAAAGAGCUGGAAGCAAGACAGUCUGUGGCCUGUCUCCUAUUAUGGAAGCCCGGCAGGGCUUUGUGACUUCCUCCUCUCAAGGGCAAUUUAUUAUGCUGCAGAGCAACGGUUCUACUUCAUUGAGAUCAGGGCUGGGAAGUAACUGCGUUUCAAAGGAUUUGUGAGAGAUAUUCCCAGUAGGCUGUAAGAGCACUGUGGAGAGCGACUUGAUUUUUAGCUUCCCAAAGAGCUGGAAGCAAGACGCUUGUGGCCUGUCUCCACUUGAGGAAACGAGGCAGGAUUUUGUGCCUUGCACCUCUACAGCAAUGUAGGACACGGCAGAAUAGAAGUUCUACUUCAGUGAGAUAAGGGUUGGGAAGAAUCUGCAUUUUACUGGCCUGUCUGAGAGAUGUCCCCGUUAGGCUGUAAGAGCCCUGUGGAGAGCGAGUUGUUUCUUAGUUUCUGAAAGAGCUGGAAGCAAGGACGUUUGUGGCUUGUCUCAUUUGGCAGCAAUGACUCAGCGCUUUGUG